RNAcentral lists this transfer RNA (75 nucleotides) under Halomarina oriensis. It matches the Rfam family "tRNA". From Rfam's summary of the family: Transfer RNA (tRNA) molecules are approximately 80 nucleotides in length. Their secondary structure includes four short double-helical elements and three loops (D, anti-codon, and T loops). Further hydrogen bonds mediate the characteristic L-shaped molecular structure. tRNAs have two regions of fundamental functional importance: the anti-codon, which is responsible for specific mRNA codon recognition, and the 3' end, to which the tRNAs corresponding amino acid is attached (by aminoacyl-tRNA synthetases). tRNAs cope with the degeneracy of the genetic code in two manners: having more than one tRNA (with a specific anti-codon) for a particular amino acid; and 'wobble' base-pairing, i.e. permitting non-standard base-pairing at the 3rd anti-codon position. Lineage: Archaea; Methanobacteriati; Methanobacteriota; Halobacteria; Halobacteriales; Natronomonadaceae. The record is from Rfam by way of RNAcentral. RNAcentral also lists the same sequence under 5 other names.
GCUCGGUUGGUGUAGUCCGGCCAAUCAUUUCGGCCUUUCGAGCCGAUGACACGGGUUCAAAUCCCGUACCGAGCA